RNAcentral lists this ribosomal RNA (497 nucleotides) under uncultured bacterium. Its description in RNAcentral is "partial 16S ribosomal RNA". It matches the Rfam family "Bacterial small subunit ribosomal RNA", at positions 28 to 507 of the family's 1533-position model. The record is from RNAcentral.
GACGAACGCUGGCGGCGUGCCUAAUACAUGCAAGUUGAGCGAUGAAGAUUGGUGCUUGCACCAAUUUGAAGAGCAGCGAACGGGUGAGUAACGCGUGGGGAAUCUGCCUUUGAGCGGGGGACAACAUUUGGAAACGAAUGCUAAUACCGCAUAACAACUUUAAACAUAAGUUUUAAGUUUGAAAGAUGCAAUUGCAUCACUCAAAGAUGAUCCCGCGUUGUAUUAGCUAGUUGGUGAGGUAAAAGCUCACCAAGGCGAUGAUACAUAGCCGACCUGAGAGGGUGAUCGGCCACAUUGGGACUGAGACACGGCCCAAACUCCUACGGGAGGCAGCAGUAGGGAAUCUUCGGCAAUGGACGAAAGUCUGACCGAGCAACGCCGCGUGAGUGAAGAAGGUUUUCGGAUCGUAAAACUCUGUUGGUAGAGAAGAACGUUGGUGAGAGUGGAAAGCUCAUCAAGUGACGGUAACUACCCAGAAAGGGACGGCUAACUACGUG